Molecule: non-coding RNA, 23 nt
Filed under: Arabidopsis thaliana (thale cress)
Lineage: Eukaryota; Viridiplantae; Streptophyta; Magnoliopsida; Brassicales; Brassicaceae
Source: RNAcentral
AUGAUGGAAAAGGUGAAGGUAUA